CCCUUUAUUCUAGGCUUUAACCUGAUACACAUACAUAUACACCCUUUUUGGUAAACUUCUUGAUACAAUGAAAAACAAAAUUGAGCAAACACUUGUUGAAGAAAUGUGAAUAUUACUUGUUUUGUGUAGGAUUUGGUCUGCUAGGUGGAAUUCUUCUAAGGCUAGCAACUACCACAGGAUCAUGAGUUGAUUUAGACCCUUCUCUGCCUGAAAGUGAAUGUGAGGAUGGAGACUUUUUUGAAACUAAGGACAAAGAUGAAGGGUGAGUCCUAGCUUGAGACAUAUUAACCAUUAGUGAAAGUAUCAAUGUUAUUGCAAAGAUAACAAUAAUCAUUAAGGUGCACAAUGAUUUCAUGGUCUUUGUUGACUUAGAAAGGAGGAUUGUAUUUUACUUGCUAU
Molecule: long non-coding RNA, 399 nt
Filed under: Lupinus angustifolius (narrow-leaved blue lupine)
Lineage: Eukaryota; Viridiplantae; Streptophyta; Magnoliopsida; Fabales; Fabaceae
Description: long non-coding RNA (LANG_LNC002085)
Source: RNAcentral